This 461-nucleotide ribosomal RNA is filed under the name uncultured bacterium. Its description in RNAcentral is "SSU rRNA". It matches the Rfam family "Bacterial small subunit ribosomal RNA", at positions 26 to 518 of the family's 1533-position model. The record is from RNAcentral.
AGAGCGAACGCUGGCGGCAGGCCUAAUACAUGCAAGUCGAACGGACCCUUCGGGGUUAGUGGCGGACGGGUGAGUAACACGUGGGAACGUGCCCUUUGGUUCGGAACAACUCAGGGAAACUUGAGCUAAUACCGAAUGUGCCCCCAUCCUUAAACAAGAUGGGUGGGAAAGAUUUAUCGCCAUUGGAGCGGCCCGCGUCUGAUUAGCUAGUUGGUGGGGUAAAGGCUCACCAAGGCGACGAUCAGUAGCUGGUUUGAGAGAGCGACCAGCCACACUGGGACUGAGAAACGGCCCAGACUCCUACGGGAGGCAGCAGUGAGGAAUUUUCCGCAAUGGGCGAAAGCCUGACGGAGCGACGCCGCGUGUGGGAAGAAGGCCUUCGGGUCGUAAACCACUGUCGAAGGGACGAUAAUGACGGUACCCUUGGAGGAAGCCCCGGCUAACUACGUGCCAGCAGCCGC